Molecule: ribosomal RNA, 487 nt
Filed under: uncultured bacterium
Lineage: Bacteria
Description: bacterial SSU rRNA
Rfam family: Bacterial small subunit ribosomal RNA
Source: RNAcentral
GUACUAUGGCUCAGGACGAACGCUGGCGGCGUGCUUAACACAUGCAAGUCGAGCGAUGAGGCUCUUCGGAAGUGGAUUAGCGGCGGACGGGUGAGUAACACGUGGGUAACCUGCCUCAUAGAGGGGAAUAGCCUUCCGAAAGGAAGAUUAAUACCGCAUAAGAUUGUAAUAUCGCAUGAUAUAGCAAUUAAAGGAGUAAUCCGCUAUGAGAUGGACCCGCGUCGCAUUAGCUAGUUGGUGAGGUAACGGCUCACCAAGGCGACGAUGCGUAGCCGACCUGAGAGGGUGAUCGGCCACAUUGGGACUGAGACACGGCCCAGACUCCUACGGGAGGCAGCAGUGGGGAAUAUUGCACAAUGGGGGAAACCCUGAUGCAGCAACGCCCGCGUGAGUGAUGACGGUCUUCGGAUUGUAAAGCUCUGUCUUCAGGGAUGAUAAUGACGGUACCUGAGGAGGAAGCCACGGCUAACUACGUGCCAGCAGCAGC